UACCCACCAUGCCUUUUCCUCUGCAUUCAGACUAUCAUGUGUCUGGCAGUGGCUAGAACUAGCUGGCUGGAG
This 72-nucleotide microRNA precursor is filed under the name Cavia porcellus (domestic guinea pig). RNAcentral's name for it is "miRNA (ENSCPOG00000036179.1)". Lineage: Eukaryota; Metazoa; Chordata; Mammalia; Rodentia; Caviidae. The record is from RNAcentral.